UGUGCCAGCAGCCGCGGUAAUACAGAGGGUGCGAGCGUUAAUCGGAAUUACUGGGCGUAAAGAGCUCGUAGGCGGUUCGGUAAGUCGGGUGUGAAAACUCUGGGCUCAACCCAGAGCCGCCACCCGAUACUGCUGUGACUCGAGUGCGGUAGGGGAGCGGGGAAUUCCUGGUGUAGCGGUGAAAUGCGCAGAUAUCAGGAGGAACACCAGUGGCGAAGGCGCCGCUCUGGGCCGUGACUGACGCUGAGGAGCGAAAGCGUGGGUAGCAAACAGGAUUAGAUACCCUGGUAGUCCACGCCGUAAACGUUGGGCACUAGGUGUGGGUCUCAACCAACGAGAUCCGCGCCGUCGCUAACGCAUUAAGUGCCCCGCCUGGGGAGUACGGCCGCAAGGCUAAAACUCAAAGGAAUUGACGGG
RNAcentral lists this ribosomal RNA (417 nucleotides) under uncultured Actinomycetes bacterium. Its description in RNAcentral is "bacterial SSU rRNA". It matches the Rfam family "Bacterial small subunit ribosomal RNA", at positions 504 to 917 of the family's 1533-position model. Lineage: Bacteria; Bacillati; Actinomycetota; Actinomycetes. The record is from RNAcentral.